Long non-coding RNA from Xiphophorus couchianus (Monterrey platyfish), 2474 nucleotides. RefSeq lists it as uncharacterized. Lineage: Eukaryota; Metazoa; Chordata; Actinopteri; Cyprinodontiformes; Poeciliidae. The record is from RefSeq and is a predicted model, not a curated record. The transcript is spliced from 3 exons.
GUUUGACUGGGCGGGCGAGCCGAGCCUCGCUCCCCCAAAUCCGCAGAGCCUGGAUCCAAUAAGCCACAGUAUCUGACUGCGGCGGUGCGGUCGGCAGCGGUGGGGCGCUCCAAUCUACCUACUGCACCCCCAAACGCCCCGCAGGCUGCAGCUUAGAGGUGCCUUCUCUCUUUCAAGACUUAAUUUGCAACAAAUGUUGGGAGUCUUUGUCUGAUCCAAGAAAUCAAGAGCUAACAGACCUGGAAACAUGCGGAGCGAAUCGCCGCAGAUAAAGUUCAAACGUUGAGGUCUCGAGACUGGGAAAGCGGCGCCGUAAUUUGAUCAAACCCAUCAGUUCUGCUCCUCUGGCUUUCGUCGUUUCCACCUUGGAGAAUGACAGACUGACAUGGAAACGACCUUCUGACCUCUCACACUGAUUAACAGCUUCUCCCCUGCUGUUGUCUUUCCACUCAGGCAUUGUGUUCAGACGCCUAAAUCUAUAUUAUUACAUUGAAACUUGUGGUUUUUUUAAGCAGAUUGCUACAUUUAAGUACCAUAAGCAUAAUUGGAGUUGGAUUUUAUUCUCCUGAGUGAACUUGCGACCCAUUUAUGCCGCUGCUGAAUAUAUUAAAGUGUUUUGUCACUUUCAUUAUUUUUGGAACCAAAAUAAGUUGAGCAACCCGCCCUGCAGCUGCAGUGAAGACGAGCAUGGUGAAAUCGUCGCAGCAGCCGGUUGUUUUGCCGCCACGGGGGCCAUUACUGGAGCGGUUUUAACCUCUCCACCUCCUUCCCGUCUCAAUCAGAGGCGUCAACAUGCUAAUAACUCCGCCGAGAUGCGCUUCAAGUCGCCUUUUGAUCUGCUCCGAAGCCGGGACGGCGCCGUGGUCGCCGGCGGUAACAAGGACCGCGUCUGCCCUCCUCCGUUUACGAGGCGAUUCUGACCCUGAUGGAGCCUGGAGGGGAAAUGGCAUCGAGACGCAAGCACCGCUUCCUGUCGGGUCAAAAUGAGAUGCUAAUUAAUUAGCAUUGGCAUCUUUAGCAAUGCGUGUCAGCUCCCAUUUGGGUUCAAACCGAGUCGGUUCUGGCCGCCGCCUCAGGUCGGACCUCCACCAUCAAGAAUCUGAUCACAUUAUGGAUCAAUAGGAAUCAAUCAAGCAUCUGACAACAAGCGUCUCUUCAUCUAAACAGCCUCCAGUUUGGAGGCUUUGAAGUCUUUCACAGGAAGAAAUGCACUCUGGGCAAUGUAGUAAUUCCCUCAGUAAUCUCCGAAUUUACAUAUCAAAGCCUUAUAUGGGCGGUAAAAGGUUUCAAGGUAGAUCUUAAUAAAUCUAACUUUUAGAAAUCCAUUAACUUCAAUGUUAUAUAACAGCUGGAAUUCAUCAGAGGUCUGGGAGGCCCGAAUCUGGUCUAGUCAAAGUCCAGAUCUUGUUUCCAAAGAUCAAUCUGAUGGAACAUUUAACCUAAAAACAACAUUAACACCAGGCGAGGCAAAAUCAAAGUUAAAUUACAAGAAUAAAGUUAUUUACCAGGAUAAAGUCGCAAUCUUACAAUAAAGCUGAACUAUGAACUUUACCAGGAUAAAGUUGUAAUAUCACGGACUAAAAAUCAUAAUGAGAAUAAAAUUAUCGUAUUUGGAGAAUGAAAUAGUACUUUUAUGAAAACUCUUACACAAAAAAUAAAGAUCGUUGAAUCUUGUGAAGUCAUAUUUCAUCUUUUAGCAGCAAAACUUUCAAAUAUGAAAACGAGAGUCUAUCACAAAGAAAGGACCGGACGGCCUUCUGUCACAGCUAAUCAUGCAAAAAAUAUUGAUUAUUUUAUAUUUUUAAGCUGCAAUAGGUUCGGUUGUAAGUGACGGAAACAAAGGAACGUUUUGCGUUUGGAAGAAACGGGCCUGAGAGGACGAGACAAACAAAUUAGAUUAAUACUCCUGAGGAUCCAGAACCAGGAAAACACACCAAAUAAGGAAAAGGAAGCCGGCAGGUUGACCAGGUUCCCAUCAAGAGGCCAGCAGCAGUCAUUAACCGGAGAUAAUAAGCACAAGGUCAGGAGAUUUCUGAAUUAUCUCCCCGUCUCCCCACUGUUCUGUCGGCCCCCUACCAAGUUGUGCUCAAGAGUGGCCUCACAUUAAUCAGCGCUUUAAUUGCCACUUCCCUCCGAGUGUGUGGGGAAUAAGGCCAAUUUCCCCGAGUCGCUCCUUCAGGACGACGCAGACAGGUUCUCAGAAACACAGACACCCAGGACUUGGAGGUCCGUUUUGACGCGUUUUCAGUCAAAGUGAUGGAGAAAUGUCAACAUUUGUUAAUCCAAGAAGUUGGUAAAUAUUUCAUGGUUCUACUUGUUUAUUUUAUGGGAGUCCAAAGUGAGGCGCGUGGGCCAUUUGCAGCCCUCGGAACAAUUUUGGGCGGUCCUUGGCUCAGAAACAUUUAGAAUCGAUGUUGGUGAAAUUUUUACCGAGACUGUUCAAAAAAGAUACAAUUAAAAUCUUGGAAAAUGUA